Molecule: transfer RNA, 85 nt
Filed under: Chloroflexi bacterium RBG_13_48_10
Lineage: Bacteria; Bacillati; Chloroflexota
Also listed under: 3 other names
Description: tRNA-Leu
Rfam family: tRNA
About the family: Transfer RNA (tRNA) molecules are approximately 80 nucleotides in length.
Source: RNAcentral
GCCGAAGUGGCGGAAUAGGCAGACGCGCACGACUCAAAAUCGUGUUCCGUAAGGAAUGAGGGUUCGAUUCCCUCCUUCGGCACCA